This 232-nucleotide unclassified non-coding RNA is filed under the name uncultured fungus. Its description in RNAcentral is "sequence contains ITS1, 5.8S rRNA gene". The stretch from base 184 to 232 matches the Rfam family "5.8S ribosomal RNA", at positions 1 to 49 of the family's 154-position model. The record is from RNAcentral. Lineage: Eukaryota; Fungi.
UCUUCGUAGGUGAACCUGCGAAGGGAUCAUUAUCGAGUGAGGGCCUCUGGCCCGACCUCCAACCCUUUGUUGAACUUCCGCGUUGCCUCGGGGGGAACCCGGCCGUUCGUGCCGGGACCCCCGAUGGACCCAACCAAAACUCUUUGCAUGUCGUGCGUCAGAGUAUUAAAGUAAAUCAAUUAAAACUUUCAACAACGGAUCUCUUGGUUCUGGCAUCGAUGAAGAACGCAGC